CCAGUCAUUACUAAUGCAAUUAGCAGUAAUGUAGCAUUUCUGUGGCCCAAACGCUGUUUGCUGUAGAAAAAAAGAAAUACACAGGUAUGCUUUUCUUUGCAUUUUUAGCAAAUAAUGUGAGUUUUUAGCUUUUUGUUCAAUUAACCUCCAUGAAUUGUGGAUUCCUCCCUCUUUGCAGCCAUUUUCUGAAGAAACUGGGGAAAUAGCAGAUGGGAAGCCUCUCAAUAACGCCUCUGAUACUACCAGUCAUGUGAUGAAACGGGAUAUAGCAUGUGGGAAGGCUCUCUAAAAACUCCACUGAUACUAC
RNAcentral lists this long non-coding RNA (307 nucleotides) under Astyanax mexicanus (Mexican tetra). Its description in RNAcentral is "lncRNA (ENSAMXG00005024705.1)". The record is from RNAcentral. Lineage: Eukaryota; Metazoa; Chordata; Actinopteri; Characiformes; Acestrorhamphidae.